UACAGAGGUGCCAAGCGUUAGGCGGAAUCACUGGGCUUAAAGCGCGUGUAGGUGGGUCGUUAAGUGUCCGCGUGAAAUCCCACGGCUCAACCGUGGAACUGCCGGGCAUACUGGCGAUCUUGAGGCAUUCAGGGGCGAGCGGAACAAAUGGUGGAGCGGUGAAAUGCGUAGAUAUCAUUUGGAACGCCAAUGGUGAAAACAGCUCGCUGGGAAUGAUCCGACACUGAGACGCGAAAGCCAGGGGAGCGAACGGG
This 254-nucleotide ribosomal RNA is filed under the name uncultured bacterium. Its description in RNAcentral is "partial 16S ribosomal RNA". It matches the Rfam family "Bacterial small subunit ribosomal RNA", at positions 524 to 776 of the family's 1533-position model. The record is from RNAcentral.